AUUGAACGCCGGCGGCAUGCCUUACACAUGCAAGUCGAACGGCAGCACGGGGGCAACCCUGGUGGCGAGUGGCGAACGGGUGAGUAAUACAUCGGAACGUGCCCAGUCGUGGGGGAUAACGUAGCGAAAGUUACGCUAAUACCGCAUACGAUCUCUGGAUGAAAGCGGGGGACCGCAAGGCCUCGCGCGAUUGGAGCGGCCGAUGGCAGAUUAGGUAGUUGGUGGGGUAGAAGCUUACCAAGCCUCCGAUCUGUAGCUGGUCUGAGAGGACGCUCAGCCACACUGGGACUGAGACACGGCCCAGACUCCUACGGGAGGCAGCAGUGGGGAAUUUUGGACAAUGGGCGAAAGCCUGAUCCAGCAAUGCCGCGUGCAGGACGAAGGCCUUCGGGUUGUAAACUGCUUUUGUACGGAGCGAAACGGCUUCCACUAAUACUGGGGGCUAAUGACGGUACCGUAAGAAUAAGCACCGGCUAACUACGUGCCAGCCGCCGCCGUAA
RNAcentral lists this ribosomal RNA (500 nucleotides) under uncultured bacterium. RNAcentral describes it as "partial 16S ribosomal RNA". It matches the Rfam family "Bacterial small subunit ribosomal RNA", at positions 29 to 523 of the family's 1533-position model. The record is from RNAcentral.